AGAAAGCACGAGCACAGGCAGACAGAGUGGUAGGCAGAGGCAGAGGAAGAAGCAGGCUCCCCGCCAAGCAAGGAGCCCAAUGUGGGAAACGAUUCCAGGAUGCUGGAAUCAUCAUCUGAGCUGAAGGCAGCCGCUUUACCAACUGAGCCACCCAGGUGUCCCCACAACAUUUAUCUUUGAUUGUUUAUUUAAUCAUUUAUCUUCUAAGAGAUUAGGCUGAUCUCUUUUCGCUGGUUUCCUUUUUGUCAGAAGCAAACUCAGUGUUGCAUAAUAUAAAAUUACCUUUCCAAAAGGCAAGGUAGUCAGAGAAAGCCAGCAAGGAUAUGAUACCGGACAUUAAACAUAGCCUCAGCCAGACUUGGAUUUCAGGUGGAGCCACUUGUCUGCUGAGAGAAAUGUCAUCGUCACCAAUAAGGAUUUUUAGAUUCCAGCUUCAGAGGCCUGGACCCUGAGUGACAGUUCCAAAUGGCCAAUUAAACUCUGAGAUCAGAAAGAGCUUCAUUUUGAAUUUUAUAGUCAUGGCACGAACCUAAGAGCAAGAUGGACCGAUCGUACAUUUGCAGACUUGGAUGCUUUCACAAUGAUGACAAGGUAUCAUUUGCUGCAAACCUUGGACUAUAAAGCUGUUCAGAGAGAGGGAAUUUGCAUGAUCAGUUGCUCACCUCAGGGUGAUAGUAGUUGGAGAACGCGUGCUAAGAGUGCAGGUUGGGAGAAGAAAGGAAGUGGAAUCCGAAUGGAGCUUCUAGCAGUGAACUCCCACUGCAUUUCAGGCAAGACAUUUUUCCUCACACUUCUGAUCACUGGAGAGCUCACACUGGCCUCUGUUCCCGGCUCAUGGAAACCUGUAUUUUCUCCUGUUUCUUCGCUCCUGAGACCUAAACUCUUCUCUGGGCUAACCUCUCGGCCUCCGGUCACCUGAACCUGAGCUCAACUAAUGCUCUAGAAAUAUAAGGGAAGAGGAGCUGUUAUGCUCUAUCCUGUGCUCUGAUGCUUCACCCCCAGGACUAGAAGAAAUAAAGUAAAUUUUUGUAGAAAUGUGGAAAUAAGCAUUCACCAGUUAUACUGAAACUAGGGGAUUUGAAUCACAUGUAGCGCGGCUUCUCCAGAGAAAUGUAGGGAAGGUGGGCAUUGAAAGAGUCUGAGAAGGGGUGUGUGG
RNAcentral lists this long non-coding RNA (1156 nucleotides) under Mustela putorius furo (domestic ferret). RNAcentral describes it as "lncRNA (ENSMPUG00000031670.1)". The record is from RNAcentral. Lineage: Eukaryota; Metazoa; Chordata; Mammalia; Carnivora; Mustelidae.